AUGUUUCAUCUCAGUGAGUGAAACAGAAGAUGAAGAUGAUAAAUCACUUCAAAUGACCAGAAUUGGUCUCGGUGAAAUCACUAUCAAUCGUCCACUGAAAGCCAAUGGAACUUACUAAUAUUACGCUGGAAUUAUGCAGAUAAGUGGGAAGUCAUUUUUCUUUGAAGCUGCUAUGAUUUUGGACGUCUGGAACAUCAACCCCUGUGAUUUCUCUUUGAUGGAUAGAAAGUGGGAAGUCCUUUGAUGCCUUGAGCUGCUUCGAUAUGGCCAGCUUCUGGCAUUGUCUCUCCGCCCAUUCCGCCUUCUUCCUUAUUGAUUACAUAAUGCUACUCCUUCUAAGGCAAUGCCAAACGAUACAAAACUGCAAAAUUCUUGAAGCUAGAAAAGAUUCUCAAUUAGUGGAUUGUUUAAUACCAAAAA
Molecule: long non-coding RNA, 420 nt
Organism: Populus nigra (black poplar)
Lineage: Eukaryota; Viridiplantae; Streptophyta; Magnoliopsida; Malpighiales; Salicaceae
Exons: 2
Source: RefSeq, a predicted model, not a curated record